RNAcentral lists this transfer RNA (57 nucleotides) under Anurida maritima. Its description in RNAcentral is "tRNA-Glu". Lineage: Eukaryota; Metazoa; Arthropoda; Collembola; Poduromorpha; Neanuridae. The record is from RNAcentral.
CUUUUUAGUUAAGCUAGAACGGCACCUUUUCAUGGUGAAGGCACACGACCUAGAAGU